Molecule: ribosomal RNA, 254 nt
Filed under: uncultured bacterium
Lineage: Bacteria
Description: partial 16S ribosomal RNA
Rfam family: Bacterial small subunit ribosomal RNA
Source: RNAcentral
UACGGGGGGAGCAAGCGUUGUUCGGAUUUACUGGGCGUAAAGGGCGCGUAGGCGGCCAGCACAAGUCAGUUGUGAAAUCUCCGAGCUUAACUCGGAACGGUCAACUGAUACUGUGCGGCUAGAGUGCGGAAGGGGCAACUGGAAUUCUUGGUGUAGCGGUGAAAUGCGUAGAUAUCGAGAGGAACACCUGCGGCGAAGGCGGGUUGCUGGGCCGACACUGACGCUGAUGCGCGAAAGCCAGGGGAGCGAACGGG